Molecule: ribosomal RNA, 555 nt
Filed under: Exophiala spinifera
Lineage: Eukaryota; Fungi; Ascomycota; Eurotiomycetes; Chaetothyriales; Herpotrichiellaceae
Description: eukaryotic LSU rRNA
Rfam family: Eukaryotic large subunit ribosomal RNA
Source: RNAcentral
GUACGGCGAGUGAGCGGCAACAGCUCAAAUUUGAAAUCUGGCCUCUUUGGGGUCCGAGUUGUAAUUUGUAGAGGAUGUUUCGGGUACCGCCUCGGUUUAAAUUUCUUGGAACAGAAUGUCAGAGAGGGUGAGAAUCCCGUCUUGGACCGGCGGUAGGGCCCAUGUGAAACUCCUUCGACGAGUCGAGUUGUUUGGGAAUGCAGCUCAAAAUGGGUGGUAAAUUUCAUCUAAAGCUAAAUAUUGGCCAGAGACCGAUAGCGCACAAGUAGAGUGAUCGAAAGAUGAAAAGAACUUUGAAAAGAGAGUUAAACAGUAUGUGAAAUUGUUGAAAGGGAAGCGCUUGCAACCAGACUUGAGCGCGGCGGUUCCCCCUUCCUUUUGGUUGGGUUACUCCGCCGUGUCCAGGCCAACAUCGGUUCUGGGGGUCGGUUAAAGGCCCGGGGAAUGUACCUACUCCUUCGGGGGUAGACUUAUAGCCCCGGGUGUCAUGCGACCACCCGGGACCGAGGAACGCGCUUCGGCUCGGAUGUUGGCGUAAUGGUUGUCAGCGACCCG